This 949-nucleotide ribosomal RNA is filed under the name uncultured bacterium. RNAcentral describes it as "bacterial SSU rRNA". It matches the Rfam family "Bacterial small subunit ribosomal RNA", at positions 556 to 1504 of the family's 1533-position model. The record is from RNAcentral.
GGGCGUAAAGCGUCCGCAGGCGGCUUUUCAAGUCUGCUGUUAAAACGUGGAGCUUAACUCCAUCAUGGCAGUGGAAACUGAAAGGCUUGAGUAUGGUAGGGGCAGAGGGAAUUCCCGGUGUAGCGGUGAAAUGCGUAGAUAUCGGGAAGAACACCAGUGGCGAAGGCGCUCUGCUGGGCCAUUACUGACGCUCAUGGACGAAAGCCAGGGGAGCGAAAGGGAUUAGAUACCCCUGUAGUCCUGGCCGUAAACGAUGAACACUAGGUGUCGGGGGAAUCGACCCCUUCGGUGUCGUAGCUAACGCGUUAAGUGUUCCGCCUGGGGAGUACGCACGCAAGUGUGAAACUCAAAGGAAUUGACGGGGGCCCGCACAAGCGGUGGAGUAUGUGGUUUAAUUCGAUGCAACGCGAAGAACCUUACCAGGGUUUGACAUCCUGCGAACCUCUUAGAAAUUUGAGGGUGCCUUCGGGAAUGCAGUGACAGGUGGUGCAUGGCUGUCGUCAGCUCGUGUCGUGAGAUGUUGGGUUAAGUCCCGCAACGAGCGCAACCCACGUUUUUAGUUGCCAGCAUUUAGUUGGGCACUCUAGAAAGACCGCCGGUGAUAAACCGGAGGAAGGUGUGGAUGACGUCAAGUCAUCAUGCCCCUUACACCCUGGGCUACACACGUACUACAAUGCUACGGACAAAGGGCAGCAAACUCGCGAGAGCUAGCAAAUCCCAUAAACCGUGGCUCAGUUCAGAUCGUAGGCUGCAACUCGCCUACGUGAAGUAGGAAUCGCUAGUAAUCGCAGGUCAGCAUACUGCGGUGAAUACGUUCCCGGGCCUUGUACACACCGCCCGUCACACCAUGGAAGUUGGCCAUGCCCGAAGUCGUUACUCCAACCCUUGUGGAGGAGGACGCCGAAGGUGGGGCUAAUGACUGGGGUGAAGUCAUAACAAGGUAGCCGUA